ACACACUUUCAACAGGUGCGUUCUGUUCAGCUAAAAUACUCAGGGUGGAGUUUUCUCUUAAGUCUGCAACCUUUUUGCUGUUUCUGACUCCCUGUUGCGACAGUUCAGAGCAGUUCAGUGGGUUUAGAUUUGUAGAUUUGAUGUGAUGCACUGCGAAUUAACGAAUAAAGUUGGAUUUAACGCAGACUGUGGUGGACUUAAUACGCAAAGCUCGCGGAAGCUCAUUCAGAUUGGCGGCUGAGCCAGUCUGUAUCUCUAUCAGGAGUGUUUGCUGAGCUUGUCAUCUGACCUUAUUGACAUCCUGAGAACACCAAUCAAUACAGUCCCAGAGGGUCAGUUAAUGGUAACACCUCAGGGGAGCAGAGCAAAGGAGGACGAGAAGAAAACAAAGAGCAGAAAAAAAAGAAGACGAGGGGAGGUGAGCUAAAAUAGGCUCGCUCAUCGACGAUUCCUCUUGAAGUGUCUCCCGUCGAGGGUGGGCGGAGCUAGCCCGCAGUGACUUCACGUUCAUACAUGCUCAACAUCAAUAGAGAACUGCUGUCUGACCCUCCGCCGAGAGUCUCUCUGGGGAGCGGGAGGGUGGAGGGAGGAAAGGAGCGAGAGACCGGGGGACGGAUGAUGGGUGGGCGAUUUCUUUUUAUGUGCUCUUUGGUGUUUACAUGUUUGUGUGUGUGUGUGCAUGUGUAGUGAUCAGAGCGUCACGGUAAUUGCACAAGCGCAAUCAAAGAUGAACAUCCAGACAACCAUCGACUUCAGGCUUCAAACGCUGGGAACAACGACAGCUAUCGCAUUGAUUUGAUGAGGAAAAACAACAGAAGCUUGGAAACCCCCCAGAGAGCUGCCUGACGAGAAGUGACGAGCUUCUCGUUGGCCCUAAUUUCCUGAAAAUGAGUCUGCUGCUGCAGUGCUGAGCUAAUGUACAAACAUCAGGUAGUGGAAGGUGGUAAACAGAGAAACUGCCAGUGAAACAGCAGCACUAUCACUCUGAUACAUGAGCUCUUUCAUUAAAGGGGACACAUCAA
Thunnus maccoyii (southern bluefin tuna) is the source of this 1022-nucleotide long non-coding RNA. RefSeq lists it as uncharacterized. NCBI's taxonomy places the organism in Eukaryota, Metazoa, Chordata, Actinopteri, Scombriformes, Scombridae. The transcript is spliced from 3 exons. The record is from RefSeq and is a predicted model, not a curated record.